GAUGAACGCUGGCGGCGUGCCUAAUACAUGCAAGUCGAGCGAACAGAUAAGGAGCUUGCUCCUUUGAAGUUAGCGGCGGACGGGUGAGUAACACGUGGGUAACCUACCUAUAGGACUGGGAUAACUUCGGGAAACCGGAGCUAAUACCGGAUAACAUUUAGAACCGCAUGGUUCUAAAGUGAAAGAUGGUUUUGCUAUCACUUAUAGAUGGACCCGCGCCGUAUUAGCUAGUUGGUAAGGUAACGGCUUACCAAGGCGACGAUACGUAGCCGACCUGAGAGGGUGAUCGGCCACACUGGAACUGAGACACGGUCCAGACUCCUACGGGAGGCAGCAGUAGGGAAUCUUCCGCAAUGGGCGAAAGCCUGACGGAGCAACGCCGCGUGAGUGAUGAAGGGUUUCGGCUCGUAAAACUCUGUUAUUAGGGAAGAACAAAUGUGUAAGUAACUGUGCACAUCUUGACGGUACCUAAUCAGAAAGCCACGGCUAACUACGUG
This 497-nucleotide ribosomal RNA is filed under the name uncultured bacterium. Its description in RNAcentral is "partial 16S ribosomal RNA". It matches the Rfam family "Bacterial small subunit ribosomal RNA", at positions 28 to 507 of the family's 1533-position model. The record is from RNAcentral.